CGCGCGCACACGCGCACACACACACACACAUCCGCUACCCUCUCGCUCACACAACACGCCUCCUUCGCACACUUGCACACCCGUACCACAGCGCGCACACAUUUCCAGCGUCCUGCUCUGCCUUUGGGGAGCCCAGACGGUGGAGAGGCUGCUGAAGGGCACUGCUUUUCUGAAUCGCGUGGUUCCCUCUCUGGCCGGGCAGGCCAGCUUUUCUGAGCCGGUGGCAGACCCAGGCCCAGGGCCUAGAUCCUCAAAGACCUGAAAGGGUUUUGGAGCAGGUGCCAAGUGUGAGUGCCUGCAGGCCUGACCCCCCAGGGCCCCUGCUGGGCCAGAACACAAGGCCAUUUCUGGACAGGGGCUUGUCAUAGACUGUCCAGCAGCAAAGUCAUUGACUGUGGUCACUGGAACUGACUCAGAGAGGCCCAGCUUAAAGAAAGAAAGGAGGAAAAAAACCCUGCUGGACGUUGGAUGUACAGCCAAACACCUGGGUUGGGAUCUGAAUGAAGAAAACAGGCAUGGAAUGCCAGGAAUGAAGCACCUGUGGCUAAGUUGUCGUCUUACAGGCAAAUACUUUUUAAGAAUCUGCUGCGUGCCAGGCCUGCGCUGUGCCACUGUGUUAAGAAGAAACGAAGGAGCCAUAGCCACAU
Molecule: non-coding RNA, 647 nt
Filed under: Pongo abelii (Sumatran orangutan)
Lineage: Eukaryota; Metazoa; Chordata; Mammalia; Primates; Hominidae
Source: RNAcentral